Molecule: long non-coding RNA, 1187 nt
Organism: Daphnia pulicaria
Lineage: Eukaryota; Metazoa; Arthropoda; Branchiopoda; Diplostraca; Daphniidae
Exons: 6
Source: RefSeq, a predicted model, not a curated record
CUUCAUUCGUAAAGUUUUGAUCGUCAAAAACGUGAUUCAGUUUUGCCGACCAGCUUUUUUUUCGCGGACUAUUUUUCUAUUCCCUCUUAAGAAAAAGGAGAAACCACGUUAGAAGAACUUACAGAGUAAAGGCCCCAUCUGAUGUUAUUGAAAGAGGAGUUGCAAUGGUGUUGUACGAUUGAAAAUCAUGUUCUAGUGUGGCUAUUCUUUUUGACAUUCCAAGAAGUCUAACUAGAUAUGUUGAAAAGAAGAAGAAGUCAGGUCUAGAAGAACAAAACAUGCCCAAUAGUGUUUCUCCAACCCAUAAUGGUUAUUCAUCUGUGCGACAGGUUUUCAAAAAGGAAGAUGAGGCUCUGCUAGCUGAUUACCUUCACCGUUCAGCAGAUAUUUACUUUGGAUUGUCCCCAAUUGAUGUUAGAAAACAUUCAUUUCAUCUGUGCAACAGAUUUUCAAAAAGGAAGAUGAGGCUCUGCUAGCUGAUUAUCUUCACCGUUCAGCAGAUAUUUACUUUGGAUUGGCCCCAAUUGAUGUUAGGAAGCUGGCUUUUAAUGUUGCCUUAACUAAAAAUCUAAAAAUCCCACCUUCGUGGACUGAAAAACUUGCAGCUGGACCAGACUGGUUUGCAUCAUUCAUGAAACGCCAUCCCACCCUGGCAAUAAGAAAACCUGAGGCUACUUCCCUGGCAAGAACGUCAUCAUUUAUUAUCCACAAUUGUAAUUUGUUCUUUGACAAUUAUCAAAGAGUGUUGCCAACUUGGUGUAACAAAAGUUUCAACACCUGAGAAGGGUAGAAAAGGCCAGAAACAAAUAGGAUCAAUUGUUUCAGGAGAAAGAGGUGUGUUGGCGACGGUUAGUUGUUCAGUUUCCAGCUGCGGAAAUACUAUUCCACCCUUCUUUGUCUUUCCUCGAGUGAAUUUCAAGAAUCAUUUUCUCGCAGGAUGACCUCUAGGUUGCGACGGUAUAGCCAAAAAAUCAGGUUGCAUGAAUGAUGCUACCAUGGACCUUUGGAUUAAACAUUUCAUUCAUGCAAGAGCUGCGUCGAUGACAGAGAAGAAGAUGACGAAAGUUAUGUUUCCUCAAAUCUAAGACGGCUCUGUAGUAGGCCUUAUGUGCCUAUGUUGAUUGUAAGGCCAACCUGCCCCAGCUGAAAGGGCAACUUGCCCCGGCGGCGGGGUAAGUUGGCCACUG